Molecule: transfer RNA, 63 nt
Filed under: bovine gut metagenome
Rfam family: tRNA
About the family: Transfer RNA (tRNA) molecules are approximately 80 nucleotides in length. Their secondary structure includes four short double-helical elements and three loops (D, anti-codon, and T loops).
Source: RNAcentral
CCAUAGUAUAGCGGUCAGUACACCGGACUGUCGCUCCGGAAGCGCGGGUUCGAUUCCCGCUGG